UGGUUGACUCACACUUCCCAGGCAUUUCCCAGGCUGUCAACCACCCCCUGCCCUCUGGCCAUGCUUGCCGGGCAUCUCCAACCGUGCAGCAACCCCAACACGCGUGGCCAGGCACAGACCAAGGAGCCGGGAGCUGCACCACAUGUCACAGGGAUCAAAGCCUGAAAACCUGAUAAACAAGAUGACAUUCAUGAAAGGCCCCACUGAGUCUGGACCAGGUCCCAGGCGAUGAACCUGAGGACCCAGUGGGCUGCUUUGGGUCCCCACUCCCACAAACACCACAACCCACCCCCUUCGGGACGAGAGGCCAGCAACAGACAUGCCCUGCAGGGCAGGCAGCCAGCGGGAGUGAGCUCUGCGCAGACCUACUGCGUGCCCAGUAGCUCCCCACAGCUUCUCCGCUGCUCCCUGUCUGAUUUCAGCCCAAGUGGGAGGCCUGAGGCUGGCAAGGAGGCCAGGAGGCCUCUCCAGGGGUCUGGGCCGCCGGAACGACUGACCGUGUGAGCAGAAGUGUGGCAUUUGCCGAGUGCCGCCACGGUGCCAGGCCUGGCUCCAGGCGAAGCUUCCUGGGCACACACCGGCCUCACGCUCGUCCCUACACGGGGGCUGCGGGACCCCUGUCCUGACACAGAGGUGGUGCAGCUGGGCCAAGAGCAAAAGUCCAGGACCGUCAACCUGCAGCCGCUGGGCUGGAAGCAAGAAUGCAGCUCUUGCCCCUCUGUCAGGCCUCCCUUGGGCACUGCCAAGAGGAGGGCGCCCGUGCAGCUCUGAACGCCUGACCCACGUCCCACCCCAUGAAUUGGGAGCCCCUUCUGUAGAUGGCUGGGCUUUUCUGUGCAUCUGAAGAGUUCCCUCAGUCCCCACGUGGACCAGGGAGGCUCAGCCCUGGUCGUAGAGUGAACCCCGAAACCCACAUGUUUGUAGCAGGGUCUGUGGAGAGCUAAACAACAGAAUUUUAUGCUACAAGAUUUCCUGCUCACUUGUGUGUGCCAUCUGUAGUUCAGGAUUGUAACUGGCUCUCUAUUUUACACUAAAAUAUAAACGGAGUAGCAUGUGUAAUGAUGCCAAAAUCACUCACGGUCGAACCUUCGAAUCACAAGAAACCUGGCCACGAGAGCCACACAUGCAAAGCCCAGGAAAUCUUUUACUGUCUUUCCCAAGUUAAGAAACAAAUCCCUCAUUUCGCAGGAUUAGUUACAUUGUUAUUAUGCUUACUUGAGGACGGAACAGCAUUCUUACAGGAUGUUGAUGGAGGACAGAAUUUGGAUGAGUCCAAACUUACACAAAAACUUCUACAAUUUUGUACUGAAUUCUGUCAAACACAAACUUUAAAUCCCUACAGGGAUACAGGCAGGAGGGGCUCUCAAACAAGUGGGAUAAAAAUUCUGGUUCAAUAUAAGGGUCCACAUUGAUAAUACUCUUGGGAGGAGUGCUUACAGAAGGAGAAAAAUCCAGAAGACGCUGCCAGAGACGUUAGAAAUAGAGAAAUCAAACCCAUACAGACCCACAAUGACCCCAAAUGAGAAUUCCAGACACUGUGGCUGUGAUGGGGUGGGGCAGCUGGUCAUGGGGAGGAGGGGAGUGUGUAAAGAACGUGCCUAUGGUGGGGGAACAGGAAAGUGGUAACAAGUGUGAGAAAUCAGUGGGGCUGUGUGAACAUGGGUGUGAGUGAGUGAAAUUAUCCCAGGGUAAAAGUAGAAUAUGUA
Non-coding RNA from Kogia breviceps (pygmy sperm whale), 1706 nucleotides. The record is from RefSeq and is a predicted model, not a curated record. Lineage: Eukaryota; Metazoa; Chordata; Mammalia; Artiodactyla; Physeteridae.